GGGUUGUGAGGUUAAGCGACUAAGCGUACACGGUGGAUGCCCUGGCAGUCAGAGGCGAUGAAGGACGUGCUAAUCUGCGAUAAGCGUCGGUAAGGUGAUAUGAACCGUUAUAACCGGCGAUUUCCGAAUGGGGAAACCCAGUGUGUUUCGACACACUAUCAUUAACUGAAUCCAUAGGUUAAUGAGGCGAACCGGGGGAACUGAAACAUCUAAGUACCCCGAGGAAAAGAAAUCAACCGAGAUUCCCCCAGUAGCGGCGAGCGAACGGGGAGCAGCCCAGAGCCUGAAUCAGUGUGUGUGUUAGUGGAAGCGUCUGGAAAGGCGCGCGAUACAGGGUGACAGCCCCGUACACAAAAAUGCACAUAUUGUGAGCUCGAUGAGUAGGGCGGGACACGUGGUAUCCUGUCUGAAUAUGGGGGGACCAUCCUCCAAGGCUAAAUACUCCUGACUGACCGAUAGUGAACCAGUACCGUGAGGGAAAGGCGAAAAGAACCCCGGCGAGGGGAGUGAAAAAGAACCUGAAACCGUGUACGUACAAGCAGUGGGAGCCUCUUUUAUGGGGUGACUGCGUACCUUUUGUAUAAUGGGUCAGCGACUUAUAUUCUGUAGCAAGGUUAACCGAAUAGGGGAGCCGAAGGGAAACCGAGUCUUAACUGGGCGUUAAGUUGCAGGGUAUAGACCCGAAACCCGGUGAUCUAGCCAUGGGCAGGUUGAAGGUUGGGUAACACUAACUGGAGGACCGAACCGACUAAUGUUGAAAAAUUAGCGGAUGACUUGUGGCUGGGGGUGAAAGGCCAAUCAAACCGGGAGAUAGCUGGUUCUCCCCGAAAGCUAUUUAGGUAGCGCCUCGUGAACUCAUCUCCGGGGGUAGAGCACUGUUUCGGCAAGGGGGUCAUCCCGACUUACCAACCCGAUGCAAACUGCGAAUACCGGAGAAUGUUAUCACGGGAGACACACGGCGGGUGCUAACGUCCGUCGUGAAGAGGGAAACAACCCAGACCGCCAGCUAAGGUCCCAAAGUCAUGGUUAAGUGGGAAACGAUGUGGGAAGGCCCAGACAGCCAGGAUGUUGGCUUAGAAGCAGCCAUCAUUUAAAGAAAGCGUAAUAGCUCACUGGUCGAGUCGGCCUGCGCGGAAGAUGUAACGGGGCUAAACCAUGCACCGAAGCUGCGGCAGCGACGCUGAUGCGUUGUUGGGUAGGGGAGCGUUCUGUAAGCCUGUGAAGGUGUGCUGUGAGGCAUGCUGGAGGUAUCAGAAGUGCGAAUGCUGACAUAAGUAACGAUAAAGCGGGUGAAAAGCCCGCUCGCCGGAAGACCAAGGGUUCCUGUCCAACGUUAAUCGGGGCAGGGUGAGUCGACCCCUAAGGCGAGGCCGAAAGGCGUAGUCGAUGGGAAACAGGUUAAUAUUCCUGUACUUGGUGUUACUGCGAAGGGGGGACGGAGAAGGCUAUGUUGGCCGGGCGACGGUUGUCCCGGUUUAAGCGUGUAGGCUGGUUUUCCAGGCAAAUCCGGAAAAUCAAGGCUGAGGCGUGAUGACGAGGCACUACGGUGCUGAAGCAACAAAUGCCCUGCUUCCAGGAAAAGCCUCUAAGCAUCAGGUAACAUCAAAUCGUACCCCAAACCGACACAGGUGGUCAGGUAGAGAAUACCAAGGCGCUUGAGAGAACUCGGGUGAAGGAACUAGGCAAAAUGGUGCCGUAACUUCGGGAGAAGGCACGCUGAUAUGUAGGUGAAGUCCCUCGCGGAUGGAGCUGAAAUCAGUCGAAGAUACCAGCUGGCUGCAACUGUUUAUUAAAAACACAGCACUGUGCAAACACGAAAGUGGACGUAUACGGUGUGACGCCUGCCCGGUGCCGGAAGGUUAAUUGAUGGGGUCAGCGCAAGCGAAGCUCUUGAUCGAAGCCCCGGUAAACGGCGGCCGUAACUAUAACGGUCCUAAGGUAGCGAAAUUCCUUGUCGGGUAAGUUCCGACCUGCACGAAUGGCGUAAUGAUGGCCAGGCUGUCUCCACCCGAGACUCAGUGAAAUUGAACUCGCUGUGAAGAUGCAGUGUACCCGCGGCAAGACGGAAAGACCCCGUGAACCUUUACUAUAGCUUGACACUGAACAUUGAGCCUUGAUGUGUAGGAUAGGUGGGAGGCUUAGAAGUGUGGACGCCAGUCUGCAUGGAGCCGACCUUGAAAUACCACCCUUUAAUGUUUGAUGUUCUAACGUUGACCCGUGAUCCGGGUUGCGGACAGUGUCUGGUGGGUAGUUUGACUGGGGCGGUCUCCUCCUAAAGAGUAACGGAGGAGCACGAAGGUUGGCUAAUCCUGGUCGGACAUCAGGAGGUUAGUGCAAUGGCAUAAGCCAGCUUGACUGCGAGCGUGACGGCGCGAGCAGGUGCGAAAGCAGGUCAUAGUGAUCCGGUGGUUCUGAAUGGAAGGGCCAUCGCUCAACGGAUAAAAGGUACUCCGGGGAUAACAGGCUGAUACCGCCCAAGAGUUCAUAUCGACGGCGGUGUUUGGCACCUCGAUGUCGGCUCAUCACAUCCUGGGGCUGAAGUAGGUCCCAAGGGUAUGGCUGUUCGCCAUUUAAAGUGGUACGCGAGCUGGGUUUAGAACGUCGUGAGACAGUUCGGUCCCUAUCUGCCGUGGGCGCUGGAGAACUGAGGGGGGCUGCUCCUAGUACGAGAGGACCGGAGUGGACGCAUCACUGGUGUUCGGGUUGUCAUGCCAAUGGCACUGCCCGGUAGCUAAAUGCGGAAGAGAUAAGUGCUGAAAGCAUCUAAGCACGAAACUUGCCCCGAGAUGAGUUCUCCCUGACCCUUUAAGGGUCCUGAAGGAACGUUGAAGACGACGACGUUGAUAGGCCGGGUGUGUAAGCGCAGCGAUGCGUUGAGCUAACCGGUACUAAUGAACCGUGAGGCUUAACCUUACAACGCCGAAGCUGUU
RNAcentral lists this ribosomal RNA (2930 nucleotides) under Escherichia coli. RNAcentral describes it as "bacterial LSU rRNA". It matches the Rfam family "Bacterial large subunit ribosomal RNA". Lineage: Bacteria; Pseudomonadati; Pseudomonadota; Gammaproteobacteria; Enterobacterales; Enterobacteriaceae. The record is from RNAcentral.